UACGUAGGUGGCAAGCGUUGUCCGGAAUUAUUGGGCGUAAAGCGCGCGCAGGCGGCCUCUUAAGUCUGAUGUGAAAGCCCCCGGCUCAACCGGGGAGGGCCAUUGGAAACUGGGAGGCUUGAGUAUAGGAGGGAAGAGUGGAAUUCCACGUGAGCGGUGAAAUGCUAGAGAUGUGGAGGAACACCAGUGGCGAAAGGCGACUCUUUGGCCUAUAACUACGCUGAGGCGCGAAAAGCGUGGGGGAGCAAAACAGG
RNAcentral lists this ribosomal RNA (254 nucleotides) under uncultured bacterium. RNAcentral's name for it is "partial 16S ribosomal RNA". It matches the Rfam family "Bacterial small subunit ribosomal RNA", at positions 524 to 776 of the family's 1533-position model. The record is from RNAcentral.